This is a long non-coding RNA of Rhagoletis zephyria (snowberry fruit fly), 707 nucleotides long. RefSeq lists it as uncharacterized. NCBI's taxonomy places the organism in Eukaryota, Metazoa, Arthropoda, Insecta, Diptera, Tephritidae. The record is from RefSeq and is a predicted model, not a curated record.
AGAAAUAAUUAAAAAAAAAUUUAGUAAAAUAUUAAAAAACGCGUAAUUAACUGUAUGUAGGUAAACGUACAUUUGCCUGUGCGAGUUUGCUGUCUGAAAAAAAAAAGAGAAAAAGAACGAAAUUUCGGUAACGAAAGCGAAAUCUAUUGAAGGUUAUUGUUUAAGUGCAGUGGUUCGAUGAGACCCUGAUUUUUAGACAACCAGCUAGUAGCCAGCAACACAAUUAGCAGCAGACUUUGUGGCAAAGAAAAGCGGAUUUUCAAAAAAUAUGUGCAUACAUUCGUACGUUUGAGAAUAAAUAAACUACCAUAAUAAAACAGCAGCAGCAGCUACUACAUAUGUAUAAUAAAGUUAAGUGAAAAAUACUUCAAUAUUGAAAAGUCAGCAACAGCAACAAAGCAUCAUUAACAGCAGGACACAUCCGACAAAUCGCAACGAAUUUCAAUAAUUUAUAACUAGAAAAAUUAAACGGAUAUAACUAAUUUAUUAGUCAAAUACCAGCAAAAAAAAAGCGGUGAGCACGACGAUAACAGCAGCAACACCAGUAACCCCUGAGAAAUUACUAAACUGCAAUUUUUAUUUUUGAAUCAUCAGAACAAAUCAUUGUUCAUUUAACAACAAGAAAAGAUAAAAAGCAACAACAAGAGCAGCGUAGUAGAUUGCAAAAAGUGCAAUAAAAGUUACAAUAAAAACAUUUGUAUACUUUA